AUAUUAGCUACGUGAGAGAGUAGUUUCUUACAGAGGCGGCGCCGCGGCGGCCACCAAAAAGGGCACGAAAACAGCAACUCACGCUCCAUCGAGAGUGAUCGAGAGAGAGAGAGAGAGAGAGAGAGAAGCUCGUGGGAAUGGCGAGUCGCGAGAGGACGAUCCGCGUCGCGAUUGUCGCCGCGGCGGCGAUCUCCCUCGUGGCCUCGGCGGCGCUCCUCCUCCUCCGGCAGCGGCGGCUGCGGCGGCGGCGGCGGCGCGGGGUGGCGUGCGGCGGCGGAGGGAGGCGGCGCCGCCGCUGCUUCGAGCCGGAGGAGAAGCCCCAGAACCGGUUCAAGCGCGUCCUCGCCGAUAACUCUUACUCCCCAUUCAAGCAUUUGAAGUGCGAGGGCAAAGAGAAAGGUGUCUCUUUGAAGAUGCAUCCAUAUGAAGAAGAGAUUAAUUCUUUGCUGGAUGAUCCUCCGCUUAUAUCGAACUUUUGUUCAAACAAUAAAUAUUCAGACAUGAGUACUUCGUAUAGUUGGAUUGACACAGAAGCUCAGUUAGAGUCCCUCACAAAAUUGCUUAGUGGAGAACGAGUCUUUGCUGUUGAUACGGAACAGCAUAGUCUUCGAUCCUUCCUAGGUUAUACUGCUUUAAUGCAGAUUUCUACUCAGAAGGAAGACUUUUUGAUAGAUACAAUUGCUUUACAUGACGUGAUGGGGAUCUUACGCCCUGUUUUUGCUGAUCGUUCCAUUUGUAAGGUAUUUCAUGGAGCUGAUAAUGAUGUUCUUUGGCUUCAGAGAGACUUUCAUAUAUAUGUUGUAAAUAUGUUUGAUACUGCGAAGGCAUGUGAAAUUCUAUCGAAGCCGUACAAAUCAUUAGCAUAUUUGCUUGAAACAUAUUGUGGAGUUUCUACCGACAAAACUUUCCAGCGGGAGGAUUGGAGAGUACGCCCACUAUCGACAGAGAUGAUUGAAUAUGCUCGUAGUGAUGCUCACUAUUUGUUAUAUAUCUCUGACUGUUUGGCCUCUGAACUCCAUAAGAGAAUUUGUGAUACUUCAGAUUGUCCCGAUGACAAAUUCAAUUUUUUCUUCGAGGCCAGUCGUCGUGCAAAUAUGGUUUGCAUGCAACUUUAUGUGAAAGACAAUGAAUCUACUCCGGGAGCUUCUGCUGCAGCAUCUAUUUUUUCACGCUAUAUGAAUGUUCAAGGGUUUGAAUCCUUGAAACUGGGUGAAUCAAAGGAUCUUAUUUGGAAAUUAUGUGCAUGGAGGGACUUAAUGGCUCGAGUUCAUGAUGAAAGCUUACGAUUUGUCCUCUCGGAUCAAGCUAUAGCUGCUCUCGCUGUAACAAUUCCAAAAAGCUCAACAGAAGUAUAUAAUGUCAUAGUAGAAGCUGACCUUAGUAAUGGUUCAGCAUAUCCUUCCCAACCAUCACCAUCUCCUGUUGUGGUUACUCACGUUGAAGAACUAUGCUGUUUACUUCAGGAUUCGACCACCAACAUAGAUAAUGUUUUUAAGCUUUUGCUAGACAAGAAUCUAGGCCAAACCGGAUGUUGUCCUCUAUCAGUUUAUAACUAUGCACUAGUAUCCGAAUUCAAUUUGAAGAAAACCAGUAUGUUUUCCUUGAAGCAUGGUGGGGAAAAGUUGACGCCAACAAAUAAUAAGAAGGCCUCCCGUGAACUCUUCAUUCAAAAGUUCUCUUGCAAAUCCCCAGUUUACCAUAACUGCAGGAUCUACGCUACUGAUGGGAGAUUGCUUUGCUAUUGUGAUCGAAGAAAACUAGAAUGGUAUCUUCAACGCAAUUUGGCAAAGAUGGUAGAAGAGGACCCUCCGGCAAUCAUGCUGCUUUUUGAACCGAAGGGGCGACCAGAGGAUGAAGACAAUGACUUCUACAUUCACAGUAAGAAAAACAUAUGCGUUGGAUGUGGGGAAAAGAGUCACUAUAUACGUUACAGAAUAAUACCAUCAUGCUAUAGAAUGCAUUUCCCAGAGCACUUGAAAAGCCACCGCUCGCAUGAUAUUGUCCUGUUGUGUGUGGAUUGCCAUGAAGCAGCUCAUGCUGCUGCUGAGAAGUAUAAGAAGCAGAUUGCAGGAGAAUUUGGGAUCCCUCUGUUUGUGCAAAGGAUAGUUGGUUCAGGGGAUAAACCUAUUAUAACAGUUUCAUCGAGUAUUGACGGGAAGGAUGAUGAUACCGGUGUGUCUCCUUUGCAGUUGAGGACUGCUGCUAUGGCUCUUUUACGCCAUGGGUCCAGUAUGCCUUUAGAGAGACAGGCGGAGCUUAUGCAGAUUGUAAAGGCAUACUAUGGAGGAAGGGAAGUGACUCCAGAAGAUCUGGAAAUGGCAUUAUUUGUUGGUAUGAGUCCCCAUGAGAGGAGGAGGUUUGAAAAGAAAAAAGGGUUGUCUUUUCUAAACCCUGAAAAGCGUACCAUAAGCAAAGGUAGCACAUGCACUGCUGUAGAGGCUGCAAAGAAAGAUUCAGAGAUGGAUCAUUCCACAAACCAAGAACUAAUAACUGGUAAAUUUGAUGUUAGUGAUGGUGGUCAGGGGGAUUUAUCUACCACUAAUGAAGAUGUUGAUAGAAGACAACCUCCUGAGAAGGGAAACAAUUGCACUUUAGACUAUGGCAAUGGGGAUGGGAUUACCUCUGAAAGUGACAAGAAGCUAUCACUGUUAGGUCACGGGCCGCAUGGGAAGCAAGUUGUAGAACAUUUACUUAACAAUUACGGAGAAGAGGGUAUUCGCGAAUUUUGCCAGAGAUGGCGACAAGUCUUUGUCGAAGCCAUUCAUCCUCGGUUCUUACCAUCUGGUUGGAAUAUAAAGCACAGUGGGCGACGGGAUUUUGGUGAGUACAGUGUUUAUAAUCCAGCAAAGAAAGCUCCUUAAAUUUCUAGCAGCUAGGUUGCUGAGUCGUCAGGUUGCGUACAACCUUUUGUUUUGGUUGCCCAUGUUAUCCGCAAGGGAUAAGCGGAGUUGUUCUUAACCUAGUUCUUUAUAUCAGUUGGUCUGAUGUAGUUCAAUGACUAUUCCAUUGAGCGCAGCCAAAAGUCCAUCAAAGUAAUGCUUUUCUCAGUCCUCAGAUGCUUCUAUUGGAGGUUGAAGAUUCGAAGAUCCAAAGCAUUUGUGGACAUUUUUCGGCUCUAUAUCAUUCGGAGUGGUUGCAUUUUGAAAACGCACGUGGAUGCAUGAACAUUUUAUUUUAUUCAAUCGCCUUUUGUUCUGUUCAUGCUGGUUCUAUAGUCAUUAUUUUUUUCAGUAAAAUUACAGGGAAAAAAAGUGCUGCUAAAAAUAAUAGUUGGACAAUAAAGAAAAAGGCUUAAUAAUACAUACAUAUUCCGUUUCAGAAUCCACAUUUGGCUUUCUCAUGACCAUAGAUCAGUAAUACAAUUAUAACCAUCCUUACAACAGCAUA
Ananas comosus (pineapple) is the source of this 3387-nucleotide RNA transcript. It is a transcript of the gene named protein RRP6-like 3, with no coding region annotated. NCBI's taxonomy places the organism in Eukaryota, Viridiplantae, Streptophyta, Magnoliopsida, Poales, Bromeliaceae. The transcript is spliced from 14 exons. The record is from RefSeq and is a predicted model, not a curated record.